AACGCACAUUGCGCCCCUUGGUAUUCCGAGGGGCAUGCCUGUUCGAGCGUCAUUACACCACUCAAGCCUCGCUUGGUAUUGGGCGCCGCGGUCUCUCCCCGCGCGCCUUAAUGUCUCCGGCUGAGCUGUCCGUCUCUAAGCGUUGUGGCAUUUUGUUUCCGCUUCGGAGCACGGGUGGCUUCCACGCCGUUAAACCCUUUCUCAAAGGUUGACCUCGGAUCAGGUAGGGAUACCCGCUGAACUUAA
This 246-nucleotide unclassified non-coding RNA is filed under the name uncultured Capnodiales. RNAcentral's name for it is "sequence contains 5.8S rRNA gene, ITS2, 28S rRNA gene". The stretch from base 1 to 52 matches the Rfam family "5.8S ribosomal RNA", at positions 103 to 154 of the family's 154-position model. The record is from RNAcentral. Lineage: Eukaryota; Fungi; Ascomycota; Dothideomycetes; Capnodiales.